GACGAACGCUGGCGGCGUGCUUAACACAUGCAAGUCGAACGAGAAUCUACUGAAAGAGUUUUCGGACAAUGGAUGUAGAGGAAAGUGGCGGACGGGUGAGUAACGCGUGAGGAACCUGCCUUGAAGAGGGGGACAACAGUUGGAAACGACUGCUAAUACCGCAUGACGCAUAGGGGUCGCAUGAUCUUUAUGCCAAAGAUUUAUCGCUUCAAGAUGGCCUCGCGUCUGAUUAGCUGGUUGGCGGGGUAACGGCCCACCAAGGCCACGAUCAGUAGCCGGACUGAGAGGUUGAACGGCCACAUUGGGACUGAGAUACGGCCCAGACUCCUACGGGAGGCAGCAGUGGGGAAUAUUGGGCAAUGGGCGCAAGCCUGACCCAGCAACGCCGCGUGAAGGAAGAAGGCUUUCGGGUUGUAAACUUCUUUUAAGAGGGAAGAGCAGAGGACGGUACCUCUAGAAUAAGCCACGGCUAACUACGUGCCAGCAGCCGCCGUAA
RNAcentral lists this ribosomal RNA (496 nucleotides) under uncultured bacterium. Its description in RNAcentral is "partial 16S ribosomal RNA". It matches the Rfam family "Bacterial small subunit ribosomal RNA", at positions 28 to 523 of the family's 1533-position model. The record is from RNAcentral.